AGGAUUUCUACUUUUCAUAUAUUUCUGUUUAGUAUUAGUUUCUCCAAGGCUGGGACUAUGUUUAAGAUGUCAUGGCUAUUACAAAAUUGAACAGUUUCAAGGAAACACCUAGCACUUGUUCCCAAUGGUUGCAGGGAAUUAGAACUAGCUGGGGAACAUAUUAAAAAGGCAGUGAAUUCAAUAACUUCUUCCACAUUUAUUAGCUGACAUACUUCUGAAGUAAGGGACUUUCUUCUAUAUACAGUGAUUUUUGUUGCUGUUGAUCUUUGUUUGUAUUUAGGGCUGCACCUGUGGCAUUUGGAAUUUCCCAGGCUAGGGGUUGACUCAGAGCUGCAGCUGCCAGCCUAUGCCACAGCCACAUCCUUAACCCACAGAGAUUCUUAACCCACUGAGCGAGGCCAGGGAUCAAACCCACAUCCUCAUGGAUGCCAGUUGGGUUCUUAACCAGCUGGAACCACAAUGGGAACUCCUGUCGAUGUUUAUUUUUUAUUUUUUUUCUUUUUACCACCACAACUGUGACAUAAAGAAGUUCCCAGGCUAGGGGUCGAGUGGAAGCUGCAGCUGCCGGCCUACACUACAGCCAUGGCAAUGCUCGAUCUGAGCCUUGUCUGAGAGCUACACCACAGGUCACAGCAAUGCCAGAUCCAUAACCCACUGAGUGAGGCAAGGGAUCAAACACUCAUCCUCAAGGAUACUAGUUGGGUUUGUAACCCACUAAGCCAAAAUGGGAAUUCCAGAUUUUUAAUUUCACUAUUAUAAAGAUUCUUAUCUAAUGUGCUCUAAUUCAUGACUAUUAUUAUUCUGUUUUCUGCUUAAAUAUAUCAAAUUUGGCCAGUACGAACCUCUUCAGGCUGACUCCUAUGUUUUUUGACAGGUGCCCAUUGUCUUUAAGCACUUUUUUUUUUUUUUUCUUUUUGCUUUUUGGCAUAACAAGCUAUCCCAGGGUCAUCCUGCCUUGUCCUGGGAUCAGCCAUUCCUUAAGGAGCCCUGGUCCCUUUUAGUGUAAAAUGCUAUUUAAAAACCGAGAUCUGGAGACUAGCUGUGCUUAUUUAUACAAUAUUAAUGGGUAAAGUUCACAUUCAUAGUCUCAUUUCAAAUCCUACACCAUAAGAUACUACCUUAACUUUUCCUUAUUCCAUAUUUUUCGCAAUAUGUGAGAAAUCUGACUUUCACACAUGUUAAUAUAUUUAUUUGGUGUUUCCUACAAUACAGAAGGAAAAUGCUUCAGAAUUACCGUUACUAUUCCGAUAGCAGUAUCAACAACAAACCUACUUAGAAAAUGCAAAAUUUCUUUGCAGUUCAUUUUGUCCUUAGGAUAGAGUUCAGUAAAGGUGCACAGAUCCAAUCUACCCUCUAUAUAUCUACAGACCCAGAUGGCAGGGAUUCUAUAAAAUAAGUGGCUUGGCCUCCUCAAAAAUGUCAAGUGAUGGAAGACAAAAAGACUGGAAUUUUCUAAAAGAAAGGAAGCUAGUUGGAAUUUCAUGGUGGCCUAGUGGUUAAGGAUCCCAUGUUGUAUACUCAUGUAGGCUUUGGUCACUGCUGUGGCACAGAUUCAAUCCCUGGCCUGGAAACUUCCCCAUGACAUGGGUGCCCCCCCCCCAAAAAAAAAGGAAACUAAAGGGACCUUAAAACCAAAUAAAACGCAAGCUCUUGGAUUAGAUUGUCAAAGAAAAACUACAAGGACUUUUUUUUUUUUUGAGGUUAAAGGCAUUUAAAUAUAGACUGUAUAUUCAGUAAUAUAAUUGCAUCCACGUUAGUUAAGGUUUUGGUGUGUUAAUGAUAUUAUGGUUGUAGAAAUUUUUCCUCUUAGAAGAUAUGUACUGAUGUGUUUAGAGGGGAAAUGAGGGCUGUAACUGACUUUCAAAUAGAGAAAGAGAGGAAUUACCAAGAAAAUGUGGCAAAGUAUCAACCGACUUUCAAAUACUGUGAGAGGGAAUAAGAGAAAGAGAUCUAUGAUGUGAAUGUGGCAAAAUUAGCAGUAAGUGGAUCUAGUGAAAGAUGAUGGGAUUUGUUGUACGAUUCUUUCCAAUUAGUAGUAGGUUUAAUACUUUUGUUUCAAAACAGAGUUGGGAAUAAUAAUGCAUAAACCUAAGCCCUGUUUCAAAAGAUUCUGAUGAGUUUGUUCUUGGGAGGGGGUUUGGAAAUGUACGUUUUAUCAAGGGAGUUCUGAGGCAGCAAACUAUGGCCCUGAUCCAGGCAUUUGUUUUUGUCAAUAAAGUUUUAUUGGAACACAGCCAUAGACAUUCAUUUACAUAUUGUCCAUGGCUUCCUUUACACUAAAAUGGCAAGCAGAAUUGAAUAAUCCACCUGGCUAUAGAGCCCUUUGACCUUUGAACUGUGUGACAGGAGAGAUGGUAAAAAAUCUAGAAAUAGGAGUUCCCAUUGUGGCUCAGCGAGUUGAACGCAACAGUAGUAUCUAUGAGCAGGCGGGUUCAAUUCCUGGCCUCACUCAGUGGGUUAAGCAUCUGUCGUUGCUACAAGCUGCUUAGUAGGUCACAGAUGUGCCUCAGAUCUGGUGUUACUUUGGCUGUGACACAGGCUGGCAGCUGCAGUUCCAAUUAGACCCCUAGCCUCAGAAUUUCCAUAUGCCACAGGUGUGUCCAUUAAAAAAAGAAGAAAAGAAAAAAAAAUCUAAAAAUAUUUCUAACUUGGCCCUUUUCAGGAAAAGAAAGAAAGAAAGAAAAAAUGACCCCUGCUCUAGUGUAUACAAACUCGGGAAAAGGACUGGAGAAACUUUAAAAGCAGAGGAAAACUGGAAAUUUGGUGAAGAGGCACUGAUCUGGCAAAUAGUAAACAUUCCAGCCCAUGGUAGCUAACAUAUGCUAUACAAGAGAAACAAGCAAAUAAAAAGAAUCAGAACCAACCAGAACGACUCUUGAUUGUUCCUACAAUGGGCCAAUUUGUGCUUGCUUAUAAAAUAGUCAUAUCAGCUCUGUGAAGCAGAAGUCAUCCAGGCAUCAUAAACAGGAACUUGGAAUCUAGAGGGAUAAAGAAGCCCACUCUAGGGCACAUCAGUUUGAGGUCAAAAUGUUGACAUUCAGACUUCAGAUUUAAGUUUUUUGUUUUUGUUUUUUGUUUUUUGUUUUUUUUUGUCUUUUUAGGGCCACACCUGCAGCAUAUGGAGGUUCCUAGGUUAGGGGUUGAAUCGGAGCUAUAGCUGCUGGCUUAAGCCACAGCCACAGCAAUGCCAGAUCCUGGCCUUGUCUGCUAAGGCCAAGGAUCGAACCCGAGUCCUCACGGAUACUAGUUGGGUUUGUUACCACUGAGCCAGAGUGGGAACUCACAGACUUAGGUUUGACAAACACACAUCGUGUCCCCUUUCCGCUGGGUCACUCUGCCAACUUCACCAUAUUUGAAGCUUCAGUUGAUUGAAACUCAGAUUUUCCAUCCACACAGUCCUCUGAGUAAAGGCCUUUAUAGUCAUUUUGAAAGGGAAACCCACAAGAGGAUCAACCUCUCUUCCAAAGAGUGAGUCUCUGGCAGCCGUAAUAUUGCUGUUUUAAACUCUGUCCCAUGGGCUUUCUGAAAGGCUAAAAAAAAAAAAACAAAAAAAACAAAAAACAACCUUGGCUCUUCCUUUCAGUGUCACCAACACCCAUGCCCCCAAGUAAAAGCAGAUUUAGAUUAUGGUCAGAGCAAGCGAGUCCUAUUUUUGCACAAAUGCAAAAACACUUUAUUGCCAUUUAUUUUCUUUCCAGAAAGUCAAACAGUUGAAAACUGUGUCUGGGGCUGGUUAGGGAUUUCUUUCCUCCUUCUUUCUUUUCAAGAGAGAAUUUUGUUUUUCCCAAUAGAAUCUACUUAGAGUGAGCUUAGAUACUGUCACAAAAAAUUCAUUAUAAUCAGUGAGUUCUGAAACUUUGUCAAGGUUCAAGUUAUUGUGAUUUUGCUUUGGGGAAGGGGGGAAGAUUAUGAGAGUAAGAUAAUGUCAUACAUAACCUUAGGAUGAUGAUGACAAUGAUAUACAAAUAUACAUAUUUGACAGGAUGUUUAUUCUUUACUUUCAGAAAGAAACAUGUCUUCUUUCAAUUUUCUUAAAAUAUUCUGCCCUCAGUUUUCUAUUAAGUUUUCCAAAUUUUUUUUUUUUUUGAUCUUUUCUAUGGCCACACCCAUGGCACAUGGAGAUUCCCAGGCUAGGGGUCUAAAAUCGGAGCUAUAGCCACCAGCCUACACCAGAGCCACAGCAACACAGGAUCCGAGCCAUGUCUGCGACCUACACCACAGCUCAUGGCAACGCCAGAUCCUUAACUCGCUGUGUGAGGCCAGGGAUCGAACCUGCAACCUCAUGGUUUCUAGUCAGAUUUGUUAACCACUGAGCCAUGACGGGAACUCCAAGUUUUCCAAAUUUUGAUAGAGACAUAAGUGUAGAAGAGAUAGUUCUCUGCAGGUACCAAGAUAUCUGAUCCUAGAUUUGGGUAGUAAUCAGUGGUGUGGGAUAUGCAAACCUGGAAAGCAUAAGCUGCUUGUAAAGGGCCAGCACUGCUUUGCAACAAGCUGUGAUUAUUAUCAUUUGGGAAGGCAUAGAGGUCAGAUCCUCUGGUUUUCUAAGACAGUCAAGAAAUGUGGAGUUCUCAUGGUGGCCCAGGGGUUAAGAACAACAACAGUGUAUGUGAGGAUGCAGGUUCAACCCAUGCCCUCACUCAGUGGUUUAAGGAUCU
This 4655-nucleotide long non-coding RNA is filed under the name Sus scrofa (pig). Its description in RNAcentral is "lncRNA (ENSSSCG00000053919.1)". Lineage: Eukaryota; Metazoa; Chordata; Mammalia; Artiodactyla; Suidae. The record is from RNAcentral.